This 429-nucleotide ribosomal RNA is filed under the name Chloroflexota bacterium. RNAcentral's name for it is "Chloroflexi bacterium partial 16S ribosomal RNA". It matches the Rfam family "Bacterial small subunit ribosomal RNA", at positions 355 to 776 of the family's 1533-position model. The record is from RNAcentral. Lineage: Bacteria; Bacillati; Chloroflexota.
UGGGGAAUAUUGCACAAUGGGCGCAAGCCUGAUGCAGCCAUGCCGCGUGUGUGAAGAAGGCCUUCGGGUUGUAAAGCACUUUCAGCGGGGAGGAAGGCGAUAAGGUUAAUAACCUUGUCGAUUGACGUUACCCGCAGAAGAAGCACCGGCUAACUCCGUGCCAGCAGCCGCGGUAAUACGGAGGGUGCAAGCGUUAAUCGGAAGUACUGGGCGUAAAGCGCACGCAGGCGGUCUGUCAAGUCGGAUGUGAAAUCCCCGGGCUUAACCUGGGAACUGCAUUCGAAACUGGCAGGCUAGAGUCUUGUAGAGGGGGGUAGAAUUCCAGGUGUAGCGGUGAAAUGCGUAGAGAUCUGGAGGAAUACCGGUGGCGAAGGCGGCCCCCUGGACAAAGACUGACGCUCAUGUGCGAAAGCGUGGGGAGCAAACAGG